ACGUAGGUGGCGAGCGUUGUCCGGAAUUAUUGGGCGUAAAGGGAGCGCAGGUGGGAGAGUAAGUCAGUCUUAAAAGUGCGGGGCUCAACCCCGUGAGGGGAUUGAAACUACUUUUCUUGAGUGCAGGAGAGGAAAGCGGAAUUCCUAGUGUAGCGGUGAAAUGCGUAGAUAUUAGGAGGAACACCAGUGGCGAAGGCGGCUUUCUGGACUGUAACUGACACUGAGGCUCGAAAGCCAGGGGAGCGAACGG
This 250-nucleotide ribosomal RNA is filed under the name uncultured bacterium. RNAcentral's name for it is "partial 16S ribosomal RNA". It matches the Rfam family "Bacterial small subunit ribosomal RNA", at positions 525 to 775 of the family's 1533-position model. The record is from RNAcentral.